RNAcentral lists this long non-coding RNA (474 nucleotides) under Lathyrus oleraceus (garden pea). RNAcentral describes it as "Pisum sativum (pea) long non-coding RNA (PSAT_LNC027922)". Lineage: Eukaryota; Viridiplantae; Streptophyta; Magnoliopsida; Fabales; Fabaceae. The record is from RNAcentral.
UUGAUCUCUUCUUUUCGAUCGAAUUCAGCAUCAGUCAACUUGGGACUUUGAGGGUGCUAUUUUCUUUUGUUUUCUUUUGAUUUUGCUUUUGAUUUCUUUUGAUUUCUUUUGAUUUUGCACCCUCCUCUUUCUUUUUUCUUUUUUUUUUCUCUUUUUUUCUUCUUUUUUUUUUGAUGCCCCAGUUGGCUGUUCUGCUGAUUCUCGAGAUGCAGCUGAGUGAUCUUCUUUUCUUGCUCAAGAAGUCGGGAAAUCUCGUCAGGAAUCCCUUCAACAUCGUCUUCGUCCGCUUCGAAUACAGGGAAUUCAAAAUUGGGAGAUGACGUCCGAUCAUUAUGUUCAAUGGGUUUGAGAAACAACCUGCAUAAAGAUUUAGAGAUGAAAAGCUUUUUGAAAAACAAACAAGACAAUCGUUAUGCAGAUGAAAAGAUUGCUUUUAUUCUUGUUUUUAAAGGUUUUUUGUGAUCACCAAUUUCA